RNAcentral lists this ribosomal RNA (506 nucleotides) under uncultured bacterium. Its description in RNAcentral is "partial 16S ribosomal RNA". It matches the Rfam family "Bacterial small subunit ribosomal RNA", at positions 30 to 523 of the family's 1533-position model. The record is from RNAcentral.
AUUGAACGCUGGCGGCAGGCCUAACACAUGCAAGUCGGACGGUAGCACAGAGGAGCUUGCUCCUCGGGUGACGAGUGGCGGACGGGUGAGUAAUGUCUGGGGAUCUGCCCGAUAGAGGGGGAUAACCACUGGAAACGGUGGCUAAUACCGCAUACCGUCUUCGGACCAAAGUGGGGGACCUUCGGGCCUCACACCAUCGGAUGUGCCCAGAUGGGAUUAGCUAGUAGGUGGGGUAAUGGCUCACCUAGGCGACGAUCCCUAGCUGGUCUGAGAGGAUGACCAGCCACACUGGAAAUGAGACACGGUCCAGACUCCUACGGGAGGCAGCAGUGGGGAAUAUUGCACAAUGGGCGCAAGCCUGAUGCAGCCAUGCCGCGUGUAUGAAGAAGGCCUUCGGGUUGUAAAGUACUUUCAGCGGGGAGGAAGGCGAUGUGGUUAAUAACCGCAUCGAUUGACGUUACCCGCAGAAGAAGCACCGGCUAACUCCGUGCCAGCAGCCGCCGUAA